Molecule: unclassified non-coding RNA, 117 nt
Organism: Macaca fascicularis (crab-eating macaque)
Lineage: Eukaryota; Metazoa; Chordata; Mammalia; Primates; Cercopithecidae
Rfam family: Metazoan signal recognition particle RNA
About the family: The signal recognition particle (SRP) is a universally conserved ribonucleoprotein.
Source: Ensembl
GCCAGGCGUGGUGGCCCACGCCUGUAAUCCCAGCACUUUGGGAGGCUGAGGCGGGUGGAUCACCUGAGGUCAGGAGUUUGAGACCAGCCUGGCCAACAUGGUGAAACCCCAUCUCUU